CAGUCGCCGCGGUAAUACCGAGGGUGCGAGCGUUAAUCGGAUUUACUGGGCGUAAAGCGUGCGUAGGCGGCUUCUUAAGUCGGAUGUGAAAUCCCUGAGCUUAACUUAGGAAUUGCAUUCGAUACUGGGAAGCUAGAGUAUGGGAGAGGAUGGUAGAAUUCCAGGUGUAGCGGUGAAAUGCGUAGAGAUCUGGAGGAAUACCGAUGGCGAAGGCAGCCAUCUGGCCUAAUACUGACGCUGAGGUACGAAAGCAUGGGGAGCAAACAGGAUUAGAUACCCCGGUAGUCCCCUGUCUCUUAUA
This 301-nucleotide ribosomal RNA is filed under the name uncultured bacterium. RNAcentral describes it as "partial 16S ribosomal RNA". It matches the Rfam family "Bacterial small subunit ribosomal RNA", at positions 509 to 808 of the family's 1533-position model. The record is from RNAcentral.